This is a long non-coding RNA of Oncorhynchus masou masou (cherry salmon), 6623 nucleotides long. RefSeq lists it as uncharacterized. The record is from RefSeq and is a predicted model, not a curated record. NCBI's taxonomy places the organism in Eukaryota, Metazoa, Chordata, Actinopteri, Salmoniformes, Salmonidae. The transcript is spliced from 4 exons.
AACAUGCCAUGUCUCAUGUUGUGCUAAUCGAACCCAACAUGUUCUUUCAUGGGGUCGUGGUGGGGUCAUUGCAUGUAGAACAUGUAAUUACGCCGCUCUCUAUGACCCAAAAGUAAUAUAUAUAUUUCACAAUUUAAAUGUACUCGUGUCACUACAUCAUCGGUCUGGUCAAUGUUGACAGCUUCUUGGAGUCCUUGGGUAUAAGGCAUAUUUGCUGUGACAGUCAGCUUUACAGGAGAAAGGUGUUGUUGCUGUCCUGAAUGGACAUCUGGGAGGGUGAACACAGUCCAGUGGGUCCACAGAGAGGACUGUGCGGAGUGCACACAAACCAUAUCGUUUGGGAGAGGCUUCAUGAUGGAUGUCUCGCUAGCGUUCUUGCCAGCCAGCAGAACCUGGCUUCAGCAGCAAGUGUUCCCAUACUGGCCUGCUGUGGCGAGAUUGCAGAACACAUUUGUAUGUGCAGUGCAAUGGACAGUGUCUCUGACAGUUCAUGAAAGUCUUCUCCUUGCAAGGGUAUGAGGAUUGGAUCUGUGGUGUGGAGUGGGUGUAUUUAGGUGAGGACCACACCAGUGUUUAGCGAUCUGUUUCCUCACUGCCUUAUUUUACAUUUACAUUUUAGUCAAAAAUCUGUCUAAUAUCAGAGAUGUUAUGACAAAAUAUGUGGAAGUAUUUCUGGUAUAUGUGUAUUCAGCUGCCUACUUGAGUUGUGCAACCCACUCCAGAUGUACUCCAGCAGGAGUUCAGGCCUACAUCACAAAUGACACCCUAAGGGCUUAAUAUAGUGCACUAAUUUUGACUAGAACCCCAUGGGUCCUGGUCCAAAGUGGCGCACUAUAAUAAGGAAUGGUAUGCAGUUUGGGUUUCAGCCCAGGGUUUGUAAAAGCUAUUUCAUCUCCUUCACCAGCCCUCUCCACUGGACUCAUCCCACUCAGUCAAUGAACUACUCCAUCUGGGCGGCCAUUAGAGGUGGAGAGAGAUGUGUGUCCCAAAUGGCACCCUAUUUCCUUCAUAGUGCACUACUUUUGACCAGAGGCCUAUGGGAUGCAGUCAGAGAUUAAUUUAUAUGUACCAGCCCCAUAGGCUUUGCAAAAGUCCUCUCUCUCCAGUCUCUCUCUACUAUAAAACAAAAUUAAAAUCCAUCCUUUUAUGACUGGGGCAUUUGUUUAAUUCGAUUUGCAUUUGAACACUGAAGUCUUUCUAUAAUGCAUGAAAUGGGUGCAGCAGGGCCGAGUCAAUGCUUUCGUUCCACCCCUCUCUCUCAGAUAUACUGUAUCCUUCAAGCAGCAUGGCUCCGCAGCCCUGUCUUUGAGUUCAGCUGGUGGUCUUUUUAAUUCCAACUUUUGGAAGAUACGGUUCAACCAAGGUUCUGACACUCUGUGGUCACUGAAGUUUCCCUCUUGUUGCAGGAAUAGGGGUGUUAACCCUGGUGUCCUGGCAAGUCCCAACCUGGCCCUCUUAUACUACCAUGGCCACCUAAUCACCCCCUUCCUUUCAAACCCCUCCUCUCCCUGUUACUCUUCCCCAGGUGGCCUUAGUUUUAAGAAGUUGUGUGUUCUCUUCUCAGCCAUCUUAUCUAGAGUGAAUCUGAAAUGGCACCUUAAUCCCUCUGGAGUGAACUCCUUUUGAUCAGAGCCCAAAUGUGCACUAGGCCUAUAUAGGGAAUAUAUACAAUUAAAGUGAUCAUGCACUGUUUACCAGGGGGCAAAGCUACCGAUGUUAAGGCUAAUCUGAAGAUGGUGCUGGCUAAAGCUAAAACUGGUGAGUGUAGAGAGUAUAGAGAUAUUGUUAUCCACGUCGGCACCAACGAUGUUAGGAUGAAACAGUCAGAGGUCACCAAGCACAACAUAGCUUCAGCGGGUAAAUCAGCUAGAAAGAUGUGUCGGCGUUGAGUAAAUGUCUCUGGCCCCCUCCCAGUUAGGGGGAGUGAUGAGCUCUACAGCAGAGUCUCACAACUCAAUCGCUGGUUGAAAACUGUUUUCUGCCCCUCCCAAAAGAUAGAAUUUGUAGAUAAUUGGCCCUCUUUCUGGGACUCACCCACAAACAGGACCAAGCCUGGCCUGUUGAGGAGUGAAGGACUCCAUCCUAGCUGAAGGGGUGCUCUCAUCUUAUUUACGAACAUAGACAGGGCUCUAAACUCCCCAAGCUCCACAAUGAAAUAAGGUGCAGGCCAGGCAGCAGGCUGUGAGCUUAGUGGAGUCUGCCACGAGCACAGUCAGUGUAGUCAGCUCAGCUAUCCCUAUUGAGACCGUGUCUGUGCCUCGACCUAGGUUGGGCAAAACUAAACAUGGCGGUGUUCGCCUUAGCAAUCUCACUAGAAUAAAGACCUCCUCCAUUCCUGCCAUUAUUGAAAGAGAUCGUGAUACCUCACAUCUCAAAAUAGGGCUACUUAAUGUUAGAUCCCUCACUUCAAAGGCAGUUAUAGUCAAUGAGCUAAUCUGAUCAUAAUCUUGAUGUGAUUGGCUUGACUGAAACAUGGCUUAAGCCUGAUGAAUUUACUGUGUUAAAUGAGGCCUCACCUCCUGGUUACACUAGUGACCAUAUCCCCUGCGCAUCCCGCAAAGGCGGAGGUGUUGCUAACAGUUACGAUAGCAAAUUUCAAUUUACAAAAAAAACAGACGUUUUUGUCUUUUGAGCUUCUAGUCAUGAAAUUUAUGCAGCCUACUCAAUUACUUUUUAUAGCUACUGUAUAUAGGCCUCCUGGGCCAUAUACAGCGUUCCUCACUGAGUUACCUGAAUUCCUGUCGGACCUUUUAGUCAUAGCAGAUAAUAUUCUAAUUUUUGGUGACUUUAAUAUUCACAUGGAAAAGUCCACAGACCCACUCCAAAAGGCUUUCGGAACCAUCAUCGACUCAGUGGGUUUUGUCCAACAUGUCUCUGGACCCACUCACUGUCACAGUCAUACUCUGGACCUAGUUUUGUCCAUUGGAAUAAAUGUUGUGGAUCUUAAUGUUUUUCCUCAUAAUCCUGGACCAUCGGACAACCAUUUUUAUUACGUUUGCAAUCGCAACAAAUAAUCUGCUCAGACCCCAACCAAGGAGCAUCACGUCAUGCUAUAAAUCUCAGACAACUCAAAGAUUUCUUGAUCAAAUCAAAUGGAUUUAUAUAGCCAUUUUUACAUCAGCUGAUAUGUUGAUGCCCUUCCAGACUCUGCUUACCCAAAGAUGUCAGAGGACAAAAAUCAGUUAAUCACCUAACUGGGAAACUCAAUUGAACCUUGCGCAAUACCCUAGAUGCAGUUGCACCCCUAAAAACUAAAAAGAUUUGUCAUAAGAAACUAGCUCCCUGGUAUACAGAAAAUACCCGUGCUCUGAAGCAAGCUUCCAGAAAAUUGGAACGGAAAUGGCGCCACACCAAACUGGAAGUCUUCUGACUAGCUUGGAAAGACAGUAACGUGCAGUAUCGAAGAGCCCUCACUGCUGCUCGAUCAUCCUAUUUUUCCAACUUAAUUGAGAAAAAUAAGAACAAUCUGAAAUGUAUUUUUGAUACUGUCGCAAAGCUAACUAAAAAGCAGCAUUCCCCAAGAGAGGAUGGCUUUCACUUCAGCAGUAAUAAAUGAGGAAAAGAUCAUGAUCAUUAGAAAUCAAAUUACGGACUUGUCUUUAAAUCUGCGUAUUCCUCCAAAGCUUAGUUGUCCUGAGUCUGCACAACUCUGCCAGGACCUAGGAUCAAGGGAGACACUCAAGUGUUUUAGUACUAUAUCUCUUGACACAAUGAUGAAAAUAAUCAUGGCCUCUAAACCUUCAAGCUGCAUACUGGACCCUAUUCCAACUAAACUACUGAAAGAGCUGCUUCCUGUGCUUGGCCCUCCUAUGUUGAACAUAAUAAAUGGCUCUCUAUCCAUCGGAUAUGUACCAAACUCACUAAAAGUGGCAGUAAUAAAGCCUCUCUUUAAAAAAAAAACCUUGACCCAGAAAAUAUUUUUUUAAACUAUCGGCCUAUAUCGAAUCGUCCAUUCCUCUCAACAAUUGUAGAAAAAGCUGUUGCGCAGCAAGUCACUGCCUUGUAUACCAUACCAUACCAUACUAUUUCGUAUACCAUGUAUACGAAAUGCUUCAGUCUGGUUUUAGACCCCAUCAUAGCACUGAGACUGCACUUGUGAAGGUGGUAAAUGACCUUUUAAUGUCAGACCGAGGCUCUGCAUCUGUCCUUGUGCUCCUAGACCUUAGUGCUGCUUUUGAUUCCAUCAAUCACCACAUUCUUUUGGAGAGAUUGGAAACCCAAAUUGGUCUACACGGACAAGAUCUGGCCUGGUUUAGAUCUUAUCUGUCGGAAAGAUAUCAGUUUGUCUCUGUGAAUGGUUUGUCAGCUGACAAAUCAGCUGUACAUUUCGGUGUUCCUCAAGGUUCCGUUUUAGGACCACCAUUGUUUUCACUAUAUAUUUUACCUCUUGGGGAUGUCAUUCGAAAACAUAAUGUUAACUUUCACUGCUAUGUGGAUGACACACAGCUGUACAUUUCAAUGAAACAUGGUGAAGCCCCAAAAUUGCCCUUGCUAGAAGCCUGCAAACUUUCUACUUUUAAACUCGGACAAAACAGAGAUGCUUGUUCUAGGUCCCAAGAAACAAAGAGAUCUUCUGUUGAAUCUGACAAUUAAUCUUGAUGGUUGUACAGUCCCUCAAAUAAAACUGUGAAGGACCUCGGCGUUACUCUGGACCCUGAUCUCUCUCAUUUGACGAACAUAUCAAGACUGUUUCAAGGACAGCUUUUUUUCAUCUACGUAACAUUGCAAAAAUCAGAAACUUCCUGUCUAAAAAUGAUGCACAAAAAUUAAUCCAUGCUUUUGGUACUUCUAGGUUAGACUACUGCAAUGCUCUACUUUCCGGCUACUCGGAUAAAGCACUAAAUUAACUUCAGUGACUGCUAAAUACGGCUGCUAGAAUCCUGACUAGAACCAAAAAAAUUGAUCAUAUUACUCCAGUGCUAGCCUCCCUACACUGGCUUCCUGUCAAAGCAAGGGCUGAGUUCAAGCUUUUACUGCUAACCUACAAAGCAUUACAUGGGCUUGCUCCUACCUAUCUUUCCAAUUUGGUCCUGCUGUACAUACCUACACGUACGCUACGGUCACAAGACGCAGGCCUCCAAAUUGUCCCUAGAAUUUCUAAGCAAACAGCUGGAGGCAGGGCGUUCUCCUAUAGAGCUCAAUUGUUAUGGAAUGUUCUGCCUACCCAUUUGAGAGACGCAGACUCGGUCUCAACCUUUAAGUCUUUACUGAAGACGGGCUGUGCUUUACGGGCUGUGCUUUGGCAAAGUGGGGUGGGGUUAUAUCCUGCCUGUUUUGCCCUGUCCGGGGGUAUCGUCGGACGGGGCCACAGUUUCUCCCGACCCCUACUGUCUCAGCCUCCAGUAUUUAUGCUGCAGUAGUUUAUGUGUCAGGCGGCUUGGGUCAGUCUGUUAUAUCUGGAGUAUUUCUCCUGUCUUAUCCGGUGUCCUGUGUGAAUUUAUGUAUGCUCUCUCUAAUUCUCUCUUUCUCUCUUUCUUUCUCUCUCGGAGGACCUGAGCCCUAGGACAAUGUCUCAGGACUACCUGGCAUGAUGACUCCUUGCUGUCCCCAGUCCACCUGGCUGUGCUGCUGCUCCAGUUUCAACUUUUCUGCCUGCGGCUAUGGAACCCUGACCUGUUCACCGGACGUUCUAUCUGUCCCAGACCUGCUGUGAACUACUGUGAUUAUUAUUAUUUGACCAUGCUAGUCAUUUAUGAACAUUUGAACAUCUUGGUCAUGUUCUGUUAUAAUCUCCAACCGGCACAGCCAGAAGAGGACUGGCCAUCCCUCAUAGCCUGGUUCCUCUCUAGGUUUCUUCCUAGGUUUUGGCCUUUCUAGGGAGUUUUUGCUAUCCACCGUGCUUCUACACCUGCAUUGCUUGCUGUUUGGGGUUUUAGGCUGGGUUCCUAUACAUCACUUUGAUAUAUCAGCUAAUGUAAGAAGUGAUAUAUAAAUACAUUUCAUUUCAUUUGAAAGGGAUAGUUCACUCAUAUUUGUUUGUAUUUUGUUCAUUAGUCCACCCACAAAAUUGUGCAUGUCAGCAAUCAAGUUUCCAAGAUUGAGCACUUUCAGUACAGAGCAAAAACUGUAGUGAUGAUGAUGCAGUUCGAAUUGAGUGAACGAUCCCUUUAAAUGAAAAAUAUUUACGAAAUAAAAGCAAACUCAUUUCUACCUCCAUGCUGUACAGAGGGGGAUCUGUUAAGGCCAGCUGUGCUCAGGAUUGUCUGAUCCAUGUGUGGAUGUUGGUUGCUUCCAUCAGCAAGGGCAUUGAAGAUGAAAUGUGGCUGGGUCUUUCAGCAUGACAAUGAUCCCAACAUACCGCCCGGGCAACGAAGGAGUGGCUUCGUGAGAAGCAUUUCAAGGUCCUGGAGUGGCCUAGCCAGUCUCCAGAUCUCAACCCCAUAGAACAUCUUUGGAGGGAGUUGAACGUCCGUGUUGCCCAGCAACAGCCCCAAAACAUCACUGCUCUAGAGGAGAUCUGCAUGGAGGAAUGGGCCAAAAUACCAGCAGCAGUGUGUGAAAAGACUUACAGAAAACAUUUGACCUCUGUCAUUGCCAACAAAGGGUAUAUAACAAAGUAUUGAGAUUAACUUUUGUUAUUGACCAAAUACUUAUUUUCCACCAUAAUUUGCAAAUAAAUUCAU